GAUUUCAAGAUGGGAACUGCUUCUAUUUGUUGAUUAGUUGUGGUUAUGCAUAAAUUGCAGGGUUAGCAGGGGGCUACAGCAGAUGUACACUGCUAUGAUGGUCAAUCAAAGAGAUGGACCAGGAUAACACCCCACGGAGAACCCCCUACACCAAGGGCUGCACAUGUAGCAACUGCUGUUGGAACCAUGGUGGUUAUUCAGGGUGGAAUUGGUCCAUCUGGUUUGUCAGCGGAGGAUCUUCAUGUUCUUGAUCUCACACAACAAAAACCACGAUGGCAUAGGGUUGUUGUUCAAGGACCUGGACCUGGUGCAAGGUAUGGGCAUGCCAUGGCUCUAGUAGGACAACGAUAUCUCAUGUCAAUUGGUGGAAACGAUGG
Impatiens glandulifera is the source of this 377-nucleotide long non-coding RNA. RefSeq lists it as uncharacterized. The record is from RefSeq and is a predicted model, not a curated record. The transcript has 3 exons. NCBI's taxonomy places the organism in Eukaryota, Viridiplantae, Streptophyta, Magnoliopsida, Ericales, Balsaminaceae.